Molecule: long non-coding RNA, 400 nt
Organism: Vicia villosa (hairy vetch)
Lineage: Eukaryota; Viridiplantae; Streptophyta; Magnoliopsida; Fabales; Fabaceae
Exons: 3
Source: RefSeq, a predicted model, not a curated record
AUUUGAUUGUACUAAUUAUAUUCAUUGAUUUACUGCAGAUUUGGAGAUGAAAAUGCUUAUUGAUGUGCGAUUCAGAUUUUCGUUUCAAAACUCCUUCUUCGACGAUGCCGCUUCGUAUGGGGUUGUCUGAUCGGAAGCUGCAUAUGUGAUUCUGCCACAGUUGGUAGAUGUUUACGGUCAGAGACAUUUGACAAGUGCGUUAGAGUGGAUGGGAAAACACUCUUUGAGUAUAUUUGUCCUUGUAUCUUCAAACUUGCCGUGAUUUUUAUUCAAGGAUUUUAUUUGAGGAAAUCUGAAAAUAACAUUGUAAGCAAAGAUAUUGUUGAUGUUGCAAGCUAUUUUAUAUUUUCAGAUGUUUCCAACAAACAAUUGAAAAUAUAUUUAGAAAAUAUGUUAUUCU